Molecule: ribosomal RNA, 342 nt
Filed under: uncultured Lentisphaerota bacterium
Lineage: Bacteria; Pseudomonadati; Lentisphaerota
Description: bacterial SSU rRNA
Rfam family: Bacterial small subunit ribosomal RNA
Source: RNAcentral
AACGAACGCUGGCAGCGUGGAUUAGGCAUGCAAGUCGAACGAGAUUCCUAGAGAUAGCAAUAUUUUGGGAUGACAGUGGCGAAAGGGCGAGUAACACGUGGGCAAUCUACCGUCAAGUAGGGGAUAACCCGCCGAAAGGUGGACUAAUACCCGAUGGGGUCCUCCGGCGCAUGCUGGGGUGAUUAAAGGUGGGGAUCGAAAGACCUGCCGCUUGAUGAGGAGCCCGCGUCCCAUCAGCUAGUUGGUGAGGUAACGGCCCACCAAGGCUUACGGGUAGCUGGUCUGAGAGGAUGGUCAGCCGCACUGGGACUGAGACACUGCCCAGACUCCUACGGGAGGCAG